RNAcentral lists this ribosomal RNA (468 nucleotides) under uncultured bacterium. RNAcentral describes it as "partial 16S ribosomal RNA". It matches the Rfam family "Bacterial small subunit ribosomal RNA", at positions 28 to 507 of the family's 1533-position model. The record is from RNAcentral.
GACGAACGCUGGCGGCGUGCUUAACACAUGCAAGUCGAACGGAAAGGCCCUGCUUUUGUGGGGUGCUCGAGUGGCGAACGGGUGAGUAACACGUGAGUAACCUGCCCUUGACUUUGGGAUAACUUCAGGAAACUGGGGCUAAUACCGGAUAGGAGCUCCUGCUGCAUGGUGGGGGUUGGAAAGUUUCGGCGGUUGGGGAUGGACUCGCGGCUUAUCAGCUUGUUGGUGGGGUAGUGGCUUACCAAGGCUUUGACGGGUAGCCGGCCUGAGAGGGUGACCGGCAACAUUGGGACUAAGAUACGGCCCAGACUCCUACGGGAGGCAACAGUGGGGAAUAUUGCACAAUGGGCGGAAGCCUGAUGCAGCAACGCCGCGUGCGGGAUGACGGCCUUCGGGUUGUAAACCGCUUUCGCCUGUGACGAAGCGUGAGUGACGGUAAUGGGUAAAGAAGCACCGGCUAACUACGUG